RNAcentral lists this ribosomal RNA (305 nucleotides) under uncultured bacterium. RNAcentral describes it as "bacterial SSU rRNA". It matches the Rfam family "Bacterial small subunit ribosomal RNA", at positions 337 to 634 of the family's 1533-position model. The record is from RNAcentral.
GCCUACGGGGGGCAGCAGUAGGGAAUCUUCCACAAUGGGCGAAAGCCUGAUGGAGCAACGCCGCGUGGGUGAAGAAGGUCUUCGGAUCGUAAAACCCUGUUGUUAGAGAAGAAAGUGCGUGAGAGUAACUGUUCACGUUUCGACGGUACCUAACCAGAAAGCCACGGCUAACUACGUGCCAGCAGCCGCGGUAAUACGUAGGUGGCAAGCGUUAUCCGGAUUUAUUGGGCGUAAAGGGAACGCAGGCGGUCUUUUAAGUCUGAUGUGAAAGCCUUCGGCUUAACCGGAGUAGUGCAUUGGAAACU